AUUAUAAGUCAGGCACUAUUUUAAGAAAUUUACAAAUAUUGACUCAUGGGGUGAAGGACCUAUUUAAGGUCAAUUUCAAUGUUUUUUCUAUCUUGUUGAUAUAUGCUACAUGGAUGGAGAAGUCCCUAGGGAUAACGAUUAUUAUUACACCUAUGCUCCUGUUCAUGACCUGUUACUUGUAUCCUUGAGACUCUACAUGAUUGUUACAGGAAGAUGCAUUUGUCAGAAUGUUUGCUGUAGGAUAUUGCUUCAGCUCACUCCUGGGUAUCAACUGUGUUUGUCUCAGAACAUCAAAUUUGCUCACCAACUGUAUUGUAAUUCACCCACCCACAGUCCCCUCGCUGUUCUUGUUAUCAUUUCUUCUUUCUGGAUAUAAAUGCUUCUUGGGAAAAGUAGUUUCAGGUCUUUCUCCUCAAUCCCCUUUUAAGUUGCCAUCAAUUGGCAUUUGUCGAUUAUUUCUUGUAAAAACACAGCACUCCCUCUCGUUCUUCACUCUCCACACCACUGGAACACAGGAGAUGCACACAAAGGCACCUGCUCCCCUCUGAGCUGGUGCCACUAGGCCCUGAGCUUCCUUCUGUCGCCUCUGUCAGGGUCCUGAGCCUGUCUCCAUCCUCUCCCAUCACCAGGCUCGCUGUCUCCCAAGGCCCAGCCCCUGCCCCACCACACUCCCUCACCCUGGGCCAGGGCCAGGCCUCCUUCACUGCCUCUCCUGCUUAUUCCUGCCUGGAGUCAGUGCUCCUCUGACCCCGUGCCUUUUCUUCUCCCUUCUCUGUCUUGACCCUACUUGUCUUCUCUGUCACCUUGAUUUGCAGCCUGUGGACACGGACCAGUACCUCCCAGUGCACUCCGGCCCACAGCCACAAGUCCUAAGGGUGCCCGUGGCAGGGAGGACUUUGGAACAGACUUCUGUCAAGGAAGUGGAGUGGAAAAACUAAGAAGAAAAGGGAGAAAAAGAAACGAUAUAAAGUGAAAGAAGUCCUUGCUCAUAUUUUAGAAUUGGAUGAUGGUAACUGAAGUGCUAUGUAGCUUAGAUUCUGUGGAAUAAAUGUAAAAGCAUGAUGUGCCUUUUUUAUUUUAAAAUGACAACUUUUAGGAUACAACUAUUUAGAUACCUUGAGAUGAAAGAAAGGACAUGUAUUUUUAAAUGUUCAGGAGAGCACACGGAUUUUCAAGACAAAUGGGGCCAAGAAAGAAUACCACUGGAGACAGGCGUGCAGCCGGGGGUGCAUGUGAGCAGGGCCUGGUCUGCAGCGAUGGCCCCACCUCCGGGAGAUGGUGGCAAUGGCAGCUCAGGGUGGCACCUUGCCUGGAUCACCAACUCCUCAGAGUAAUAAGAAAGGCUACCUUUGUGGGUGGCCUACAGUCCUAAGAGCUCUCUAAGUCUGUCCAGUGACUCUCUGAGCCAAGUGGUAUGUUAAUUAUUUUAAAAUGAGAGCUGGGCUCUGUUUCUUCCCAAGUCACCAUCCAGUUAAGAUAUGACGAGUAUGUCUGUGGCAGCAGCCCAGCCUGCCUGACUGUGAAUGCCACCAGCCAGCAAGCACACGAGCCACCCACCAACUGUGAACAGCUAUCAUGGGCUGAAGUGUGUCCCCCCUAAAUUCAUAUCUUGAAGCCCUAAGCCCCAGUACCUCAGUAUGGAACUGUGUUUGGAGAUUGGGCCUUUACAGGGGUGAUUAAGGUAGAGUGAGGCUGUCAAAGUGAUAUCUGGGCACUCAGAGUGACACAGGAGUCCAUGCACAGAGGAAAGGCCCUGCGGGCACACAGAGUGAGAGCUGCUGCCUGCAAGCCAUGGGAGGAGACCUCAGGAGAAGCGGCCCCACUGGCCUUGAUCUUGGACCUUCAGCUUCCAAAGCUGCCAGCAAAUCCAUAUCUGUUUAAGCCCCCCAGCCCGUGGUACUUUGUGAAACCACACUGCUCUGGAUUGCAUCCUGAGGACAAGCCCUUGCGUCUGCCUCUCCAGGAUGUCUACAAAAUUGGUGGUAUUGGUACUGUCCCUGUGGGCCGAGUGGGGACUGGUGUUCUCAAACCCUGCAUGGUGGUCACUUUUGCUCCAGUCAAUGUUACAAUGAAAGUAAAAUCCGUUGAAAUGCACCACGAAGCUUUGAGCGAAGCUCUUCCAGGGGGCAAUGUGGGUUUCAACAUCAAGAAUGUGUCUGUCAAAGAUGUUCGUCGUGGCAAUGUUGCUGGUGACAGCAAAAAUGACCCACCAAUGGAAGCAACAGGCUUCACUGCUCAGGUGAUUAUCCUGAACCAUCCAGGCCAAAUCAGUGCUGGCUACGCUCCUGUACUGGACUGUCACAUUGCUCACAUUGCCUGCAAGUUUGCUGAAGGAAAAGAUUGAUCGCCGCUCUGGAAAGAAGCUGGAAGAUAGUCCUAAAUUCUUGAAGUCUGGUGAUGCUGCCAUCGUCAAUAUGGUUCCUGGCAAGUCCAUGUGUGUCGAGAGCUUCUCAGACUAUCCUCCUCUGGGUCGUUUUGCUGUUCGUGAUAUGAGACAGACAGUUGCUGUGGGUGUCACCAAAGCAGUGGACAAGAAGGCUGCUGGAGCUGGCAAGCUCACCAAAUCUUCCCAGAAAGCUCAGAAGGAUAAAUGAAUAUUAUCCCUAUACUUGCCACCCCACUCUUAAUCAGUGGUGGAAGAGCAGUCUCAGAACUGUUUAUUUCAAUUGGCCACUUAAAUUUAAUAGUAAAAGAUUUGUCGUUAAUAACAAUGCAUCGUAAAACCUUCCAAGGAAAGGAAAAUGUUUUGUGGACUACUUUUGUUUAUU
This is a non-coding RNA of Microcebus murinus (gray mouse lemur), 2768 nucleotides long. The record is from RefSeq and is a predicted model, not a curated record. Lineage: Eukaryota; Metazoa; Chordata; Mammalia; Primates; Cheirogaleidae.